This 22251-nucleotide long non-coding RNA is filed under the name Malus domestica (apple). RNAcentral's name for it is "long non-coding RNA (MDOM_LNC007228)". The record is from RNAcentral. Lineage: Eukaryota; Viridiplantae; Streptophyta; Magnoliopsida; Rosales; Rosaceae.
CAUGAUUGUGUUGUAUAAAAAAAUUUAGGUUUUAACUCAAAAAUUACUCUUAUCCUUCAAUAGUUUUGGUUAAAAAUUUUAGGCCGAGAUUAUUAAAGAAUGAUUUUAGCUUAAUGUUUUGUCGGUUAAUUUUUUUUAAAGUAAAAUUUAUGUAAAUUAGCUUGAUUUAUUUAUGAACAUUUUAACUUAAAAAUAUUUAAAUUCCGAUAAACCUGCCCCUUGAAACAUGGAAGUCAUGGAACAAUAAUUACAUUUUUAUAAAGAUAAGGAUUACAACUUUGAAACUUGAAAUAGUUCUAUAUGCUUCAAUCUUACAAUAAUUAAUAAUACAAACAUAAUUAAAACACUAAAUAAAGAUUAAUAAACGAUAAGGAAAAUACUACAUAAGAAUUACAAUAAUUACUAAUAUUAAUAAUACUCAUCAACAUUUGGUUGACUUGGUCCUUGAAUUUGUGGUGGAUUUCGUGGUGGACUUGGGUAAUAGACAUUAUAUUGGUCAUCAUCCUCAAAGGUAUUCCUUACGGCAUUCCUUAAUUUCCGCUUGCUUGUCGCGGAAUAAUUUCUUUCUAUUUUAGGUAUAUUUGUUGGGGUCCUCCCUCGUUACAUCAAAAUCAAAUGUCAUCUUGUAAGGGUCCUCCUUCUAAUAUGAUAUUUUGCUAUCUUGAAAAUUUUGGAAGUCGGUAGAAAAAUGGAAGAAUUGUUUGAGGAAAGUGAAUUUUGGGUAAAUGUUUGAACAAAUUCAUGUAUUUAUAGAGUUUUUGGAUGAAUUUUGAUUUAAAUAAUUUCUUUUAAAUGUUUUAGCCGUUGAAUUUAAUUUUGGACCGUUAGAUCUUUUUUUACAGUUAAUUUAAUAUAAGAAUUCAGCCGUUCAAUUUAAUUUAAUUAUAAAUUUGAUUUCAAAAAAUUUGAAUAUGUACUGUUGGAUCAACCAAUUGCUCAUCAUUUCCAGUCAUUGGGACCCAGGAGUUGAUGACUUGUUGCAUGAGAUGUUUCUGAUGCGUUGCUUAGCUACAGCUUGGCACUUUGUAGGCGUGUUCAUGAGCUAGGGCAAUCACUCUCCUUGGCUCAUUUUUUUUUUAAGGGAGUGUUAACGAAAAGCCCACGGUACUGUUCAUUUUAACGAAAAAUCAUAUUUUUACACUAAAAAGUCAAUCAUGGUACUAUUCACUUUACCCUUUAUUUUAUCCUUAUCGUUAAAACUCAAAGUUUUCAUGCCUUUUUCAUUAAUUUUCCUUUUUUUGGGAGUGUUAACGAAAAGCCCACGGUACUGUUCACUUUAACGAAAAACCAUAUUUUUACACUAAAAAGUCAAUCAUUGUACUAUUCACUUUACCAUUUAUUUUGUCAUUAUCGUUAAAACUCAAAGUUUUCAUGUCAUUUUCAUUAAUUUUCCUUUUUUUAGAGAGGGGAGGUGAGAAUUUGGCCCAAAAGCAAGUUUUAACAUUUUGAAACUCAAAAUUUGAGUUUUAAACCAAUCAUUGUAUAUGGUCCUUGGAGUUCCACAAAUGUAUUUUGGCAAUUUGGAUGACUUUGGAGUCUUUUAUAAAUGCAAUUUGGUAACUUGGAUAACUUUGGAGUCUUUUUAUAUAAAUGCAAUUUGGCAUUUUGGCCAAAGUCCAAGUCGAUUUUAGAGUAGCAAGUGGCCCUCUACCACAGUGGUAAAGAGAAAUGUUGUCCUUGCAUCACAGAAUGAGUUCGAAUCUUAUCAGCUACCUAAUUAAACAAAUCUAUCGUUUGAAAAAGAAAAAAGAAAAAAAAAAAGAGUCGAUGUUCGAGUCUUCCAUCAAUACAGUUUGGCCAUUUGGCCAAAGUCCAAGUCAAGGGCCAUAAAUGCAAUUUGGUAAUUUACUUCAAAUUUUUUCUUCGAAGAAUAAGAGCUUGAUGAUCUUAAUUGAUACUUCCAGUUUUAUUCUUAGUAUUCUCCUUUAUUUCAUAUGACUGUGACAAAAUAUUUUGUUUUCCACAAGAAAAUUACAUCUUCAUGACUCAGUGUCUCUCAGACUACGAAAAAGUUUUUCCAAUUAAUAAUUUUUCCUCUUGACGGAGUCUUCCAUAAAUUGACUCACUCCAAGUCAAAAGUCUUCAAUUGUCGCCAGCUAGUACAGUGCACCACUUUGUUUUAUGGAGCCCACCCCACUCCUUCUAGAUUUGAAUCCCAUUUGGAUCCAAAUUUUGGGGAUCAUAUUCCUAAUGAUCUUCGUAUCUUAAUCAUUCAUUGUGCAAUAAAAAAUUAUUUGACUUUUUUUAUUUAAAAUUAAACGUAAAUAACAUCCGACGAAAAUUGACCGUACGAUGUACGAUGAACGGCUAUAAUGUAGAGAUCUCUAUGAUUCCCACAAAAUGAACCCGGAGAAGAUCCUCUUCCACUCCUUCGAACGGUUAUCCCGGAUGUGUGUAAUUGUCAAUCUUUCUUCUUCUCAAAUAUCACUAUAUCAACCCCUCUUCUUCAUUUCUCAUUUAUUUUUAUGUUCAAAUUUAUCAAAUAAUCUAAAGAAUCAGUUGUAAGUUGUAAUGCUGGUGAACUUUACGUUUUAUCUCUUUGAGGCAAUCAUCUAAAGAUUAUUAAGAAUCAGUUGUAAGUUGUAACACAUACUGUGUAAUGAUGUUUAUCUCUUUAUUUAUAAAUAAAAGGUAUUAUGUUCAACUUCUAUGAGCAUUAAUAUUUUUGAAAACUUAAUUAUGGUCAGUUUGGGGUUGCUUAAUUUUUUUUUUUUUGAAACAGCUUCUCGAAAAAGUUGAGUCCUUAAUUGUGUUUGGUAAAUAAAAAAAUGUUUGUUCUUGUAAUUAAAACCCUAGUAUAGAUAUAUCGUUGUAUCAAAAUAAGAGAAUAACGUUAUUAAGCAAAGUCACCAAUGUGCAGAUUUUAUCAUGAAGGUGCUGAAAUUAAGUCACCUAAAUUAGAAGUUCUCCUAUCCGAAUUUGGACUAGAGCCAAAAAGAGAAAGGAUAUGACCAGAGAGUUGGGUAGGUGUAGAUCUGGGAAUCAAGGGCGCGGGGUAGGUGUGAAUUUUUGUGUCUUGAUGAUAUAAUUUCUCCUAAAUUAGAGCCGUUGAGGAUCACAUUAACAAGCUUCCAGGAAUACUCUAAAGUCGUCUAACAAACUAUAAUCAAUUAUAAACCAACCCAUGUAAGAGCAGCAUAUGUUAUAACUUAGGGACUCGCUAGAAAUUAGUGUUCACGCAUUGUUGCGAGAUUGAAAAUUAAAUGAAAGAUUAUAUUUGAAAUAUAUAAAAGUUAAACAACAACAACGAACCCACAUGCCAAUCCUACCUGAAGAAGCUUAUUAUAAUUCUAUAAGUGGAACAGGGGUGAGUAAUUCUAAGUGAAAGACCAACACAGAUAAAUUAUACAUUCUGAAUUUCUUGAUUACAAAAUGCACUCCUCACAAUGAAGUCUUCCACUGGACCAAUACUUUCAUUGGGCUCAGAUACUUGUAAUCCAGCCUAAUUCGAUAAACCCAGCAGUGGCAGUCUUGUAAAUAAAACGAAAAGACCAAAUGGCACAUAUGUAAUUAGCUUGAAAUCGAGGGGCCAUUCCAUAUGCAACAUGAAUAGUGCAAUUUCUUUUCCAGACUUGGGUAAUAUGCCAUAAUAUUCUCAUCACACACCAUUCCAAUUAUUAAUACCCCACCCUCCCUUUCCUUCCUCAUUGAUUUUCCACGUGGCAAAAUUUGGAUACGUUCAAUAUUGAAACAUUUGAAUGCAGAGAGAGGAGUUCGUUUGACAAAAAAAAAAAAAAAAAAAAAAGAGGACAGAGGAAGGAGUAAGAUGCCACAUGGAUGCAUGUAGUUGGUGUGCAACAAACAAUGCAUAAACAAGCACGUGUUCUAUAAAAAAAUUCCCAUGAGAAAGGGAGGUGGCGUGGAAUUGGUAGUAUUGGAGGUAGGUGGUAUAAAUUUGGUGACUUUGAAGUAGGGCUGGGCACAGGACGGGCCGGGUCCAAAUUUGAAGGAACCAGAUUGGAUCCGGGUUUAAAAGAAAAUGAUCGAGUUGGGGCGGGUACAUCAAAUUUUAAUACAGGAAUCGGACCUGUCGGACCGGGUCCACGAGUCCCUUUUUUUUAGGGGGGGGGAACUGAAUUUUUAGAGCAGACAGCACAGAUUCACAACAACAGCUACACAAAUUGAACACGGGUCCAAUUAUCACUGUAAGUCAGAACACAGGUGUUCGCAGGAAUCGCAACAUUCUCUCAGUUCUCUUUAAGGUGAAUACAUGUUUCAUAACCUGCCAAAUUGCAUGAAACGCUCCACUGAUCUAAAUUGCAUGAAACAUUCAAAUCUAGUUUACAUAAUAUAAUUAAAAAUAUUCAACAGAAUAUUCAAAUUCAAUCAAACAAAAGAUUUGAAAUUGGAACAGAAUAAAAGUCAAGAUUCAAGAACCUAACAAAAUCCCUAGGAAAUCAUAAUUUAAUUUUCAAUCCUAAAUCCCUAAAACAUAAUACCUUGAAACUGAAAAAGACUGUCAGCAGAGCUCGGCUUCCAUGCAAAUCUGAGUCAAAUAGAGGAGAUGACUGAUUCGUCAUUUUAAGUUGUUCGACUUCAUUGUUUGUCCCCUCGAGUUCGACAGAGAGAGACUGACUUCGUCAUUCGUCCCUUCGAGUUCGACAGAGAUAGAUUGAGAAUCGAGAGGGAUACGAGUUAGUCUGGACUCUGGGAGAAAGAGAUCGAGAGGGAGGAUUGAGUUUCAAUUCGAGUCAAAUGAGAGUCUUCGAGAAAGUGAUGUGAUGUGUGUGUGUGUGUGAUUUGAGUGGUGUGUGUGAGAUUUGAGUGUGUGUAUGUGAGACGACACUUUAUUGGAUACAGUUCGGGCCGGGGUGUCACAUCUCGGCCCGGGGUCCACCACAUCCCGGGCCCGAUCCACCACCGUGGCACGAUAUUGUCUGCUUUGGGCUCCGACUACGCCCUCACGGUUUUAUUUAUGGGAACUCACACGAGAACUUCUCAAUGGGUCACCCAUCAUGGGAUUGCUCUCGCACACUACUCGCUUAACUUCGGAGUUCCGAUGGAACUCGAAGCCAGUGAACUCCCAAAAAGCCUCAUGCUAGGUAGGGAUGGAAAUAUACAUAUAAGAAUCACUCCCCUGGACGAUGUGGGAUCUUACACGGGGGUCUUGUCUUCAUAAUAUUGGACCCGCCUCGCCCCUCUGUUUACUUGGACCCGUCCCGCCCCGUUUUGUAUAUAAAAUAAUAUGGACCUGCCCCGUACCCGCCCCCUUUUAGAAAAAAGACUUAAUAUAAAUUUGGUGAUUUUGAAGAGUUGCUUUGUUUGGUGUAUUCUUAUUAAUUAAAUCUUUUUAGCAAAAACUUAAAUAGGAGGCCAUAUUAUGCCCCUUCUACCUGUAAAUAAGUCUUUUAUCUAAAUUAUUAUCCAAAUCUUCUUAUCCAAGUAAAAAAUAAAGGAACAAACACACAUACAUUAACACAAGGAUUUAGCAGUUACCCAUUACUUAUCUUCUCAUUACCCAUGUAAUCAACUUCUAUCAUCCACAUUAAUAUUUUGUACUAAAAAGAAAAAGAAAUUAAACUUGUAUUAUUAUUAGAGGAAAAAAUAAGAGCAAAAGAAUUGAAGUCAAAUUAACAUUUUUAUUUCAUGCUUGCGUGUUUCUUUUGUGUGCCCGUUGUCUUUCUCUACAAUUUGUCCAUGAAGAUUUAUUGUUGUUUUCAUUAGUUUGUCACAAGCAACUAUAGUAAAAAGGGGACAAAAGCAAGUGCGAUAAGAUAUGCUGGCAAAGCAAUGUAGAAGGACAUGGGCAGAGGUGCGCGUGGCCGAGGGGUUCCCAAGCCAGGGAAGCUCAAACAAACCCAAGAAUUGUUUUAUUCACACCCUACAUAUUGUUGACUAUACCUACUUAUUUAAUACACUCCACUUUUGUUUUUUAAGGAAAAGUAAGUUAUUCAUUGCAUUGAAAUAGAACACAUUCAAACUGAGGAUAGUGUGCAUAAUGGGCCUCAAUAAAAUCUUACGGGAGCUUUCAACCUGGUCGAAGGGAAAAAAGCGUCUCGCACAACACAGAGAACUAUUCUAAAAUGACAAUACAUAACAAAACAUAACAAUUUACAAGCUUUCUUCGAAUAAAGUAUCCCUAAGCAAAUCAAGGGGGUCUUCAAACCACAAGAGCUGUUGAUUACUUACAACUCCCACUCGAGCAAGCCUGUGCGCAGCCGAGUUACCUCCCCGUUGCACAUAGUUCACCAACGACUGAGGAAAAGACUGGAGCAAAAAAUGCAGAUCAUUAAUGACAGGCCCCAAAAAUGAACAAUCCUCCUCCUGACCCUUCAUGGCAACCAAAACCAAGCUAGAGUCACUUUCAAAAAUCAUCCUUUUACCAACAUGGCAAAACGUUUGGGCCAGCAACACAGCCUGACGAGCAGCAAAAAGUUCUGCAUGGAACGCAGAACAUGUCCAACCAAUCGAACCCGUAGUUGCAGCAAUGAAAACUCCCCUAUGAUCUCGCAUAACAGCACCAAAGCCUCCCCCUCGAACCUUGCAGGAUCCACCAUUAAAAUGAAUUAAAAAUAAAUUUGACAUUGUCAAAUUUGACUUCAAACCACAAAACUUUCAAAUCUAGUCAGCAAAUAACACUUUGAUUGGAGAGACUUUUAAUGUCAAAUAUGCACAGAGACAUUCCAACUAAGAUUUUGACACCUCAUUCUCAUUUGGAGAUGCUAUUCAAUUCCGCAUUAGCUUUAGAAAAAAGAACAAGCCUUUCGUGAAAAAAGGUUUUUCCAGAAGAUGAACAACUUGACAAGAUGACACAGCACAACUCCUCGAAAUGGCAUAUAACAUUGAUACGAAUAUUGGUUUCAUAUUUGUGAUUUCAGGCAAGUGUGAUUGAUUCAAUCACGAUGGUUAGCGUUCGACUGCUAUAUACAGAAAACCUACGUUUGAACAGUGUCUUCUGCCUGCUGCGAUUGGUAUGUGCAUCGAACAAACCACACGGUAACUCGUGUGAACUCAGGAACUUAAAAUAAUAAAAUGGAGAAAGUGAAAGGCUCCAUUUUGAGAUGCUAGUAAGAUAACAUGACGUGGAACAAAUGGCCAAAUGAAUUGAAGAGGAAAUGGACCAUUGGCAGGCAAAAGGAAGCAGUGAGAAUUUGCGAAUUUGUUGUCUGAACUCCGAUUUGCGUUUAUGAUACUUUUUUGCAAAGGGAACGACUCACCGUUUAAGUUAGGUAUGACAUACGAUGGAUUUUAGUUUAAGUUAGCUAUGACAUACGAUGGAUUUUAGUCAUCCGAAGAUGUUUCCCCCCAAAAUGCAAUUUCAAUUUCCGUAAUAAAAAAAAGGGAACAUUUGAGUUGCUAGCGUUCCUUUGUAUGGUACUAAGAAGUUCCCCUUUCUCAAACGGGAUCAAGGCUUCCAUCCAUACCAUAGAGUCCUGUUAAGCAACAUAUUGCUUUCACUUUAUAUGGGUACAGACUCCACUCUUGAGUAUCAAAAGUAAACAGUGAAACAAGCACUCGUACCUUCAAUUUCUUCUGAACUGCAGAAUUCAGUUAUACCCUCACCACUCAGAGCAGAUAUGCAAAUCACAUCAUCUCUCUCUUCUGCUUCCAACUUCAUCCUUUCAGGAUCGCUAAACUUAUCAACCUGCAAAAUAAGUAGCCGUGUAUCAUCAAUCUUGUGUAUACGCUUCACAAAUGAAAUCCAGUACAUGAUCAUCGGUAUUUAUAAAAGAAAGACCCACGCACACUCCAUGCAAAUAAAAGAACAACCAACACCACACAAUUCACUGAUAUGGUGAUUAAUAUCAAUCCCUCAUUUCACAACAUUGGAUUAAUAACUGAGCCAUCCGGGAAAUUCGCCCUGCCUUGUUCCACACCAUCAACUUUGGAAUUGCAGACACGUCUAUCUGUUGCUCAGCUAGUGGAUGACUGAAGUCAAUAUCAACAUAUCCAAUAAGAUACCAAUGUCCACCAUCGCGAAUGCAUCGUUUAAAGGUUUCCAAAAUUGUACCUGAUAUCCACCACAUGCACCAAUGAUGGGGACUCUGAUAUCUCCUCUAGUGUUGCUCUGAAGGCAGCAAACUGUAAGAUGCAGUUAGUGGAAAGAAGUGCAAGACAUAAUCAGCUUGACUGACAUUGGACUGACAUUCGUCAAAACAUUUUUCUUGCAAUACAGUUGAAAAUGAACAGUAGGAGGCAGAGAAAUUAAACUGCACGGUAGCAGCUUCAUGAAUAAAUUGUGCAAGCAUUUUACCACUGUAGUUGGUAACUUCUGAAUGAAACCAACAGUAUCUUUGAGAAGAACUCUUUCCCAUUCUUCGUCUGGAAGAAAAUGGAACACACAUAUGUCUUACAACCAAAUGGAAGUAAAGUAUCACAAACUUAUAGAACCUGAAAUAUAAAAUUUUCAGCGUCAGACUAGCAUGUCUACUAGAAACAGACUUAAAAAGCAGACUCAAUGCAAAAGCCCGACGGUUGAACUGGAACUGAUUCAUAAUUAAUUAACUGAUUGCAUGAAGUCGAAAUUCAUGCAACCCCUGAAGCCUGUUCGGUACUACAUCAAAAUCAAAAUUUUGCUUCUCUGACUUUUCAGUUGUUUAUACGAUACACCAACACCGGGCAGAAACUAAAAAUCACCACCAAAUAAAUGUGGAUUCCACAAUGUCAAAGUAUUUACUGAUAUUGUCGACCAAUUAAAGGGCCUACUUGAGUUGCGUAAGAUACGCUUAUCCACUUCAAUUUACUUCUCACCCGUCCUCUUAACCUGUCCUCCUGCUUAAAGCUCAAGAUGGGUCCACACUUUUGUUAGCCGAGGUAACUGGUCUUCCAUUUGUGCCGAUGCAACGUAGAAGAGAUCACGAUUGAAAUAUUGUCAGCAUGAUAAUUCUGGAAAAUUUCUAUUUUGUUGUUACGUUACUAGUUACUACAACUGUACCAAGUAAGCUGUUGCCGUAUAUUCAAAUAUAACGAAACAAAUUAUUACCUAGAAUUAAAAGCACAAUGAUAAAUUGCCUGUAAAGCUGCUUCAUGUGUUGCAGCCCGCUGGUUAAAUUAUCCAGAACGAGGGCAGUGCAAUCACAAACUCUAACCUCCCCACCAAAAGCCUUUUCCAAAUUGGGCAAACGCCUAGUAACAUUUGAAACAAAGACAAAAACUUUAAACAUAGUAGUGCUUGAAAAGUUCUUGGAGAAAAUAAAAUUUAAACAGAAAAAUCUCCAUAGGUCUCAAAUCAAAGAUAAAGAGAAGAGAGUUCAAUUCUAAUCCAAAUGAUCCAACAGGCACAACAAAUUGAUCGAUGCGGGGGAAAGGGAGUCAGUAUCGGCAAAAUAAAACUGUGCAACUCAUGCAAAUCAGUCCACAGUGACCAUAAGCAUGUACGUGAUAACUAUAAAGUCAUGUUUCAUACCCUGAUGAGAGCUCAUCAUCAAAUAUCACAUUCUCAACUCCCAAUGCGUUAAUUUUUCUCUUGAUUUCUGAUAGGAUUUUUACUACUCAUGUGAACGGGCUUAAAUCUCCUAUUUUACUUGCAAGAAUCACAAGGUUAUUGUAGUAUAAACGGAUUUCGUAAGGUCGUCUCCACAGGAAUUAUUAAAUAAUUCGAACUAAUCAGAUUUCAUUUAAUUAUUGUAAAAUAGAAAUUGGGGUGAUUGAUUUUAUAACCUAAUUAAAAUAAAAAUGAAUUUAAUGAAUUAAAAUAAACAAUCUGCAAUAUUAGAGCUAGAGAGAAAAUAAAACAGUUUUGUGAGAAUAAAAUUAAGAAAGCACUAGGGAUCCACCAUCACCUAACAAUCCUAUGAAUUUUUACCAAUUACUUAUAAUCUACACAUGCCACUUUCAAGGUUAGAUUUUCCUAAUUCAUAUUCUACUUGGAACCUCCAACAUAGAACGUAUAUCUAACAUGCAAUCCGUCCGGACGUUCGGAUCAAAUCUAAACAUGAAAGACUCAUUAUGCUUUAUGAAAAUCCUUUGAAAAACCAUGCAAUCCUUAAGACGUGAUAUUCAUCCUAAAAGAAAUUACAAUUAUUAAUCACAAAAAGCCAGUGUCAAUUUCAAGGAACCUUCCGACCAAAAUUGCAUCAAAUUACUUUUCUAAAAAUCCUAAUGGUGAUCAGGCAUUAAAACAAUUAGAUAGUUUUUAUCUCGGUGAUUAACAAUUCAAAGUACGCAUGCAAUCAAUCAUAAGCAAUUAAAGAAAAAUCACAUAUUCAUGCUAAGGCUCAAGGCUUCACCCUAGCAAUAGAAAUUAGUUCCACAUAUUCAUAAUUGAAACCAUAGAAAAAUAUUCUUAAGAAAAUGAUUGAAAACACCUUCAAGAAAAUCUCCAAAACCCUAGCACUUCUCUCUGUCUCCAAAAUUGCAUAAAAUAAAGUGUAGUCUCAAACUGUAAACGGCUAAGCAAUAUAUUUGCCAAGCCACCACACAAACCCUAGGAAACAUAACCCUAAAUUAAAUAAUAAAAUUCGUCUAAAAUCUGAACAGCCACGUUUUGGCCCAUAAGCUGCUCCAAAACUGGCCCAAUAUAGCUGGAUUUAAUGUUUGGAAUAUUCUAAACACUUUUCCAGAAGGCCACGAAUCCAUCCGAGGUCAUCUUGGGCUCCAAAAACGCAAUUUAAGCCCAAAAACGUCACUUUCCAACACUGCGCACUGCUUCUUUAUUUCAUCGCCAGAAAAUAACCGCUUGGUGGAAAAAUCCCAAAUUUUGAUACGAUCAAGCUAAGUGACUCACAAACGUCCUCCAACUAGAAUUACUCCAAAAUUCGUCCAUUUGGUCCUGUUUUGCUCCAGAGGAAGUCGAAAAUCCUAUAUUGAAAAUACAAUUCAAAGUAUCAAAAUUCUUCCCAAAAUAUUAACCAAAAUAUACUAAGAUUAGGAUAAAAUAUAUAAUAUAAAAUCUACUCAUCAAUUUCUUGCCGGAUCCAAUCUAUGUCCUCGAGUUUGGAGAAACGAGUCUGCAUUACGUAUAGGCAUUAGCAAUUUGAAGAUAGGGGAUCAGCAUCAAAUAAUUGAGCACACAUUGACACAAACUACUAGGUUGGACAGCACUAUACUUAGGGCUGGGUUCGGUUCUGAUCGGUUCGGUUUUUUGUCAAAACCGAAACCAAAUCGAAAUUUCGGUUCGGUUCGGUUCGGCCCAAAUUUUUUUCGGUUUUUUUCGGUUCGGUUUUUUCGGUUCGGUUUCGGUUUUUUUUUUCCUCCAAAAAAUGCAAAACAACCACAACAUAAGAUAGACCCCUGUCACUUGAAUUACUUCUCCUUCUAUCCUCCUGUUCUUUUUUUCUUUUUUUUUCUUUUUUUUUUCUCAAAUCGAAGAUCAGAUUAAACGCCAAAUCCAUUAAAGCAUAAUCAAAACUAAAGUGCUUAACUUGAUAGUCGCUAAUUUCAUUUCAAUAACAAAAACACGAACCCAAAUGAAAUCGAUCGAAAUCAAUCGACGUUCUGCAUGAUAUCCUCUGCGGUGAACUUGGUGCCCUUGUCCUUGUCAGCGGCGGCGCGGCCCUUGGCCUUGCGGUCCAGCAGAGACUUGCGGUCCUUGUCGAGGCGGAGCUUGGUGAUGACGACCUUGGAGGGGUUGAUGCCGACAUUGACGGUGGACCCGUUCACCUUCUCUCGGGUGAUCCGCUCGAUGUGGAUGACCAACUUCCGGCGGUACACCUGGACGACCUUGCCCUCGCGGCCCUUAUAGGUCCCACGCACGACCUGGACCUCGUCGUCCUUGCGCACCGGCAUCGAUCGGACAUCUGGAGGAGAGGAGGCAGGGAACGAGAGAGAGAGAGGAAGGGAAUGAAAAAAAAUAAAAGGUAUGGGUAUGGUUGCUAGGGUUAAAGGGUUAAAGGGUUUUGUUAAGUUCUCCAAAAAAUUAAAAAACAUCUCAGACAUCCUGGAGGUUCGAACCCGUGCCUUGGGGCUUGAAAAGGUUCACCGAAACCAACUUAGCAACAAGGUAUGUUUUGUUAUGAUUGUAUGACUAAACUAUUUAUAAUAUUUAAAAAAAUAAUUAAAUAUAUAUAUCGGUUCGGUUCGGUUUGGUUCAGUUUCCGAACCUCAAAAACCGAAACCGAACCGGUCAGAUUCGGUUCGGUUCGGUGUUUUUUCGGUUCGGUUUUUUUCGGCCUCGGUUCGAUUUGGUUUUCGAUUUUUUUCGGUUUUCGGUUUUUUGAACCCACCCCUAACUAUACUAGCAAAGAACACGAAAGCAUCGAAAACUAAUCACUUUUUGUGCGUGGAACCAACAACCAUAAGUCCAGCAGUAUCAGCUAGCUGAGUCAAUUCCUUGAGUGAUUCCUCCACGCCAAACAAAUAUUCCUUUUUCUUCUAUGCUUGUGUAUUUCAACUCAUAAUCGGGUCAAUUUAUGAAAUCAAAUUAAUUUCUAAUAAUUUAGUACCAUUUGAGAAAUAUCAUUGAAUGGAUGAUUAUUGAAAUUUUGUAAUGAUUUUAUAGCAUUUUAUGAACAAACGAUAUUUUACACUAAAAAGAUGGAAAAGUGGGCUAAGCCACACAAUGAGCUAGCUAUAAUAAUGUGGUUCAAAUUCACUUUUGGCGACAGUUGAGCCUAACACCUCUUACUUACAAGUGAAGAAGAGUACCAAUAGAUCGUAGUACUAAGUUGACGUCAAACACUUGACCAUUGCCAAUGUGGGAAUUGAUUUUCCAUGAGACACCUUGUGGUGCCACUCAUGAGUGGGUGUUUCGGAGAACGUAGUCUCACACAUCGGCAAUUGUGUUUCUUUCUAGUUGAUUUAGUUUUUCAUUUUUUACUCUAAUUUUUUUAGUUUUAAGACAUGAAUGUCUGCUUAGAUGUGUUGGAUGAUAUUGGUUUAUAUGAAGCAUGUUACAUGAUAUAUGUUUGUGUGUAUUUUGUGCUGUAGUGAUUAGUGAGUGAGUGUGUUGACUAUUGAAACAACCUUGUGAUUCUAAAAUUUAAGAAAAUUUUGUUUUGGCUUCGUUUUGAGAUUUGCUCAUAGUAGUGUAUUAUUAUAAAUUAGCUGUUUUUGCAGCAAAAGAUAAGCUUCAUGUGAAGCACAAAGCAGUGUCAUUGGAACAGACACAUAAAGUGACACCUUUAUUCGAUUAACUCGUGUCACGAUGGUCUCGUGUGAUUGUGGAGGUUUACAUUUGUGGUUAUGGAGUCUGCAGGCAUUGGAUUGGUUUGUAAGCCUUGUUAGCUCGAUGUAAACGGUUAUAUCUAUAACUAUGCAGUUUUUUAAACGAUUAUUCAUCGUCGUAACUAUUAAUUUUAAAUGAACGGGUAACUGCGAUUAUUCACCCGCGAAUAUUUUGCACAUCUCUACCUGCGGCCAAAAACAUAAAGAGCGGGCCUCAUUGUAAAUUUCAUACCUAGUGGUUUGGUUGAGGCAACACCUGGGUGCAACUAGGGUCGGGACAACCUGAAUCCCUCCUACUCAACUAGAUUUUUAAACUUGAUGGGAGAGUUAGAAUUAACUAAAAACUUGCUCGAACCCAACCCCACCUUACUUUCAUUUUGUGUUGGGCUGGAGUUGGGUUGAUGUCUUGGCGCCUUUACUUGCCUAUGGCGUUCAAAUCCAACUCGAUCUAUAGCCUGAGUAAAUACCGCGAGAAGAUCUUAUGUGCGUGAAAUUUCUUCUCAUGGUUAGGGCUUGCAAAUGGAUGAUGACGUGUCUAUUGUUGCCUCUAACCAAUGAAGAGGAUCAUUUUCGGAUCCACUUUGUGAGGAUCAUAGAGAUUAUUACAUCUUAAUCGUUCAUUGUGUAUCGUACAAUCAGUUUUCGUCAGAUACUAUUUGUGUUUAAUUUUAAAUAAUAAAAAAUCAAAUGAUUUCUGAUCGUACGAUACACGAUGAAUACUUAAAGUAUAGAAAUCUCUCAAAUCUCCACAAAGUAUAUUUGGAUGGAAUUCAAUUCCUAGAAAAACCAAUAUCGUGUAGAUUAUAAAGCCAUUAUAUAUGUGAUGAUGGUUCUAGAAAAGAAAACAUUACAUAUUACAUGGAACAGUGUCGAUGACUUCAAUGAUGUAAGCAUUAACCUAUUAAAAAAUUUGGUUGAAUUAACGUUGUCCCAAAAGAUAAAAUAUAAAUAUUAUAAAAUAAUAAUGAUAAUAUUAUACAUAAAAUGUUUGUGCUCUGAUUUUUAAUAUUUUAUCCAAUUAGUUGGGCAUGUCGUUUUUAGUUUCACACCACAGAGUGUUUUUGUGUUGCCUUUCAUGCUUGCAACGUUGCAAUCCAUUUGAAAAGACUUAUUUAUCGAUUUGUCAUCCGAACAUGUAUAGAGUUGCCAAUUUUUUUUCCUAACAUUAGAUUUUGAAAUUUUUUUAUCCAAUUUUCAUCUAUCUUGAUCACGUAAACAAUACAUGGUAACUGUAUGAGGGCAAAAAUAUAAUUUUGUUUUGAUAAAUUGAGCACAAAGCCAAGACUUUGCAACUUCUAAUCAGAGAAGGCAUUGAGGGAGAGCAAAAUGUGUGGUCGCACAGGGCCUCAAAUUUGAAGGGGCCCCCAGAAUUAUUGUCGUCUAAUAUUAUGUAAUAAGUUCUAUAUUUAAAAAAAAAUGUUUUUGUUAGUACUUUAAAAUCUCUUUGUGCACCUCUUAUAAAAGUAAUUUUUUUUCUAAAUAUAAAAAUUUGAAGUACAAUGAUAUAUUUUGUAUGUCAGUAAUAACACCCAAAAAAUGAUAUAUAUAAUAAUAUUAUAUGUUCAAGUGAAACUUCAAAGUUAGAGUUUUUGGUUUUUUAUUUUUCAUGUUUGGUUGUUUAAUUAAGAAUGAACUGCUUUUGAUUAUUUAGUGAAGGUUAUAUUUGUAACUCUUUGUACGUAUAAUUAAUAACAUUUGUAAACUAGCAUUCAAUGAGUGUUAAAAUUUGUUUUGAUUUAAGUGACUGUUUUUUAACCUAAAUACAUAGUUUUAAAAAAAUUAAAAAUAAAACCUAUCUUAAGGAGGGGCCUUUCAAAUUUCGCAUAGGACAUCUAAAAUCUCAGAGACGGCCCUGCUUCUAAUUGUACUCCCAUAGCUAUUUCAAACAUAAAAGUUUCCAGAAUCAACUAGGGGAAAAGAAGAAGGAAAAAAAAUUAUUUGUUGUCCACAUUGUGGAUAAAGUUACUUUAUUGCCCUCAAACAUUUGUCAUGUAAUCAAAAUAGAUUGAAAAUUGUAUUGAAAAUUCCAAGAUCCAAGGGAGAAAUUUUGACUAAUUAUUAAAGCUCAUGACGCUAUCAGUUAAAAUUAAAAUUGAAAGAGAAAAAUAACAACUCUUUAUAAGUUCAGAAAAAAGAGGGAAAUCGACAGAUCCGAUAAAUACCUCUUGAAAAAAAAAAAAAAAAAGGCAGACAAAUUGGAAAAACCAAUAAAACCAAAUUUUACGUCGGAUGAGGUGGUCACUACGUCAUUUCAUGAAAUUAGUUUAAUGGGCUAAGUGGUGGGGUGGAAAUGUAUGGUUGGGUUUUAUAUCACGUAAUGUAAAACCUUGUAUAAAUUCAAAUUAAAAUAGACGCUAGUAAAUUAGUAAUUGAUUUGAAUAUUGGUUACAUUACACUAGAUAAAUCUUGGAGCAUUAAUUCUAAGGUGAAAUAGUCGUGUACAUGCCUUUUCUUUUACAUUUAUUAUUAUCUCAUUGCGUGAACAACACGUUUUCAUUUAUGAAAUAUGAUAAGUUUAGUAAUUUAUUUUCACAAUUCAACUUCUCUCAAUUUAAGGAACUGAAGAAGUGUUAAUAACAACUCCUUAUAUACGUCAUAUCCUACUAAAGGUUUUUUUGUUUUUUGUUCUUAGAGGAAAUGUGGGAUACUUUAGAGCCUGUUUAGUACUCUAUUUGAAUCCAACUUUUUGGACUCUAAAACAAUUUUUUAGUUUUACACUUUAAAUAUUUGUUUAGACUAUUUUAAAAAACUGAACACAAAAUUAACUUAAAGAUAGCCUAUUUCCAAAAAACACAAAAAGUGAUUUUUUUAUUAUUAUUUUUUUGGUUUUUAAACUCCAAAGUACUACUUUCUCUCUCCUCUCUUCUCACUUCUGAUAUUUCUCCGCUAACUCUCUAUCUCAUCUCCCUCUUCUUCGACCCUCUCUUUAGAUCUCUUUGUCUGUCCAAUUGAAUUUAGUAAUAAUUUUCAAAUUUACGAGGAGUUGGUGCAGGGUAUUUUUUUAUUUUCUUUUUAACUAUUAAAAUUUAAAUUUUGAAUCUCAUAGCAAAUUUGUUAAUCUUAAAAAAUAAAAUUAAAGAAGUUCUUAAGAAAUAUUUUAAAAAUUCUAAUUUUUUUUAUUACAAUACCAAACAGCUCCUGAUAUUCUAGUUUGCAUGCAUGUCGUAACAACAGCAUGUUUAUACUCUGCCUUAGCUUGUUUCUUUUUGUAAUUUACCAGUUUUUAUAAAAUGUAAACAACGAUUAAAAACUCUUUCUUGCAAGUAGAUUUUGUUGCAUUUGUAAUCAUGAAAUUAUAUUCUUGAUUGAUAAUGCUUCUCGUUCCAUUUGGUUAAUCAAAUAUUUAUCACCUUCAACCAGCCAUUAAUUUAUACAAAUUACUGGCUUCCCACUACACCAAAAGUCGUCUAAUAUGAUGGAGAAAAUGACAGUCUCCAUUUUCUGAACUCACUCGUGGCUUUUAAAUGCUUUCAUCAUCUUGUUAAUCCAUUGUUUAAACUUUAAUUAAUUACAAUGUUCUACAACAUUCUAUUUGAAAAAUAACACUUAGAAAUUGGAAAGGCGUGACAAAUGAUUUCAUCAUCCUUUUUGUUUUUUUUGUUUCCUCUUUUAGAUAUUCCACCAUUGUUAAAUUUAUUGUCGACCUAAUCAAGCCACUCCCUUCACUUCUUUUUAUGACCCUAUUUAAUUUCAUUAUUAUUUACUUUUGGCAUAAUUUGAAUUUAUAUUAAAAAAAAGAAUUAGGUUAAGGCAUAUAAUAGUCAUUAAAAUAAGAGUAAAUUGUAGCUAUGGUCCCUUAACUUUAACUUAAUUGGAGCAAUGGUCCCUCAACUAAAAAUCCAUUACCUUUGGUCCCUCAACUUUAAUUCAAGUGGAGAAAUUGUCCUUUAACUUUAAUCCAAUUGUAGCAAUGGUCUUACAAUAUAACUCGUUUUGACAAAUUUUUUGACAUAGUUGACGAAAAGAACCAUAAUUAUACACUUUGAUGAGUUGAGGGACCCUAAUUAUAUAAAUGGUCAUUCCAACAUAGCUUAUUUUGACAAAAAUUUUGACAAAAUUGAUGAAAAGGACUAUAGCUACACAUUUUGAUAAGUUGAGGGACCAAUGGUAAUGAAUUUUUAGUUGAGGGACCAUUGCUCCAAUUUGAUUAAAGUUGAGGGACCAUUUGUACAAUUUACUCUUAAAAUAAUUUGGUAUCGAACUCGUAAUUUACUAGAUUCGAAUUACAAGUGAAAACAAUAUUAUUAAAUCGUAGUACUAAGAAAUAGCAUUAGACUUGUUAAUAUAUCAUAUUUUGAACCGGAUCCGAUUUGAAUCCAAUGCAAUUAAUAUGAUAUGGAUCCAUACUUCCAAUCUAAUUAUCUGAAUAAGAUCCGAAUCCAAUAAUCCAAUUAUAAAUAGAUCUAGAUGUUGAUCGAAAUUGAUCUGAUCCAAUAAUAAUACGACUCGUUUACAAGUUUAGAUGCCAUCAUAAUAUUUGAGAUUACAAUACAAUAUAAGUAACAUAGAUAGAGCUCUAGAAUUAAACUUUAAUUACUGUAUCUUUGGUUAAAUCGAAAGGAUGAAAGCUCCUUCCCUCUUGUUGUAGUUUUCUUGUUUUAUUUUUCUAUAAAUAAUUAAUGAAAGGAACAAAGAAAAGAAGUAGCAUCCCACACACUAUCAAAAUAUUUUGAUAUAUGUAUCAAUUUCCUGUAUAAUUAAGUUUUUAAUAAAUUAAAAUAAAACAAGGGGGACAUACCAUGUCAACCCAUGUUAAUCGAGCAAACAAGUACGACACAUGAUGUACUUGAUUGUCCUCUCCAUAUGUAUCAGAAACAGGCUGUGUGACCAAAAAGAAAAUAAAACCAGGGAUUUCCUACUCGCUUCUGAGGAAUCUGGCGUAUGCCAGAGUUUUCUCUAGGGACUAGUUGGGCUUCGCCACUUUAAUUCAUCUUUUUGGGAUUAAAAAAAUUUACGUAGGCAUUUUAAUUUUUCUCUGGCCAUCAUGAUGUGAUUUAUUAGCUCAAAAAAUUGAACUCAGAGCAUACUGUGUAGAAUACAUACUUGAAAUUCGUUGCUGACUACUGUGUCAUCUCGUGAUUGUUGCAUAUGCUCGAGUUUGAAGUUCUUACUUUACCUACCAUCAAUUCCAAUUUUGUCCUGCUGGUUUAUAUUAUGGUCUGAUCAAAGUUUGUUGAGGUAUAGGUGCAUCAUGAAGUAUUAUGAGUGAAAAAGUCACAAAAUUACGUGGUGUUAUUCAUUUAAAAGUUAUAAUAUGUAUUGAUGAACGUUAAAGUUAAAAUGUCAUACAAAUAGAAUAUGGUGUUGAUAAAUAUAUCUAAUAUUCCUGGAAAUUGUCAAUGUCAUACACCAAUUAUAUGUUUUUUAAAAAGCAUUUCAAGUAUGUUUUUACUAAAAAUUGUUUUCGAAGAUAUUUUUCCUAAAAACGUUUACAGUUAUUCUAAAAACACUUUCAAACGAGUUAUAAAUAAAAAAUAAAUUGAACCAAGGCAAAAUCAUUGGCCAAAUAAUCAAAUUGGAGCUAUUAGGCCAUCUCCAACCGAGGGCUGGCCAGAGGGCUCGUUUGAGCCCUCUGGCCCUCCAAGAUUCCCCAAGAUAUUAAUAUUUUAAUGAACAGUACAUGGCCAUAUUUGCCUCCGUCUCCAACCGAGGGCCAGAGGGCCAAAGGGCUUGUUUUAGCCCUGUCACAAAAAACCGUCUCCAACCGAGAGCCAAAGGGCCAUAGGGCCAAACAUAAUUUAUUAUUUAAAAACUACAAUUUAAUGUUGUAUAAAUGGCCUAGGAAGUUAUACGAAAAAAAUAGAAUUGAAAAAAAAUAUGAAACAAAUUUUGUGAAAUAGAAGUUAUAGGAAAAAAAAUAUGAAAAAAAAUUUGAUUCAUAUGAAAAGGAAAAAAAAGGGAACUUUAAUGAAAAGCAUCCGGUACUGUUCACUUUAACGAAAAACCACAUUUUUACACUAAAAAGUCAAUCCUGGUACUAUUCACUUUACCCUUUAUUUUGUCCUUAUCAUUAAAACUCAAAGUUUUCGAGCCCUUUUCAUUAGUUUUCCUGAAAAAAAAGGGAAAAAAAGAAGUUUAAAUUCAUUAAAAAAAAAAAAAAAAAAAGAGAGGCCUAAUAAUCCAACGGCUACUAGCCGUUACAUUAAAAAACAUUUCAAACUAUUAGUGUCGGUUAUAACCGACACUAAUAGUAGAACUAUUUAAAAAAAAAAAGCUCUUUAAUGCUGUCGGUUUUAACCGACAGCAAUAGGAAACAUUAAAAAAAAAAAUAGCCAGCCCCGGGGCUAGCUGGCUGGCCGAAAGCAGCCAGCCCUCCAGCCCUCUCCGAUCCCGUGGGGCCCUCCCAGAUUCCAGAGCCCUCUGGCCUAGCCCUCGGUUGGAGACGGUUUUAGGGCUAUUUUCGGCCCUCUGGACCCUUCGGUUGGAGAUGGCCUUAGCCAGCACCAAUUGGCACAACAAUCCAAACAUGGGAAAAGAGGUCGAGGAGAAAGGGAUAAUUUUUUCAUAUUUUUCUCUACUAAAAUAACUUUUUUUCUUGUCUCCUAUGGUAGUUAUUUAUCAUAUUAUUAACAUAUAUAUCACCAAGAACAAAGCAGUUAAAUAUAUAUGAAACUGUAGAAUACUGAAUUAUUUUUAACUUCAUUUUGUUUAUUGGGAGUGUGCCCCCAUAUUGUUUUGUGAUUAGAUUCACAUAAACGCUCUAUCAAUCUGGAAAUCCAUCGAUCUAAUUCUUUAAAAUAUUCAAAAUACCUAAUAAACUAUUUAAAACAAGCCAAAAGAAGAAUCGAGAUCUCUUCGGAUCUCGAAGCUUACUAGCAUGCCCAGAGAUCCGAGCCGCUCAAGAGAGAGAUUUGAACCCUUAAUUUGUGAAGUGAAGUCCGUAAAAUAAACUAAUGAGAGUCGUAUGAUUUAAAAUGAGUGGUUUGAAUCUCUAGAUCUGUUAACUGCAGAUACAGAGAUCCGCAGAGGAUUUCAAUUUCCAAAAGAAAAACUUUAUUUGAAUGUGCACGGAAUCUCCACCACCGGUAUUUGAACGUUCGAGUAAUUUGAUCGUUUAUAAAAUGAUGGAUUAUACAGCAACAAUGAUGGACCAAAAACAGAUUAAUAGACAGAAAAUUCAUUUAAUAUGAAGCAAAGCAUCUCUUUCUUCUUGUCUUGAGGAAGAUAACAUGGCGUAGGCGCAGGAGAACCAUAAGUUCUGGAUCUUUAUUUUCUCUUUUGGAAUCUUUUAUUUGCAUAAUUUUAUCAAUACAACAUUGGCUUUGCAUAUUUUUAGACAUUGUUAAAUGUGAUGAAGCUUUAUAUGUAUAUGCUAUUUGAAAGACAAUUUGUGGUGCUCGUUUCGUAAUUUGUUUCAAAGAUCCAAACUGUUUAUGUUUUAAUAUAUCAUUCAUAAAUCAUCUUUGCAAAAAAUUAGACAAAACCAUUAUGACAUCCAAUUGUAGCAAGGAAAAUAGAUGAAUAUGAUUUUUCUAAGAAACAAUAAUAUGGCUUUCAUUUAAUCAAACGGUCAAAUAAUUUUGGAUGUGGGUGAUUCCUAGUAAAGAUGAUCUUUAAUGGAAAGCCUAAACAAUGAAUUGCUGAAUCAUUGAAAUACGAUAUAGAGUAAGUCAUACAAAAGAUCUCUCAGAUAAACUUAAUUGAUGAAUCCUUCGACCAAGAGGACUAUAUGCAUGCACACGGAGAAGUGCUCGAAUGCAAUCCGAUUGGUGACUUAACCACUCCAUAUCAUGAUAUUAACCACAUUUUUAACUAGGUCGUCAUUGAAAUCUGGUCCUAGCAAAACUCACUCAAAUCAUAUAAGUGUUUAGUUUUCUAACUGCCUGUGACCUAAAUAAAUAAAUAAACACAAUAUUAUUGAUAAAUUGUGAAUGUAUACGUCCUUAAUCAAUAAAUCAAGACUAAAUAAUAUGAUUUUGUAGUGCCAAUAAUAAUACACCAUAAUGCUAAAUUAUUGAAAAUUCAAGUAAUAGACUAUUGGAGAAACUAAACAACGUGUAGAAGUGUUCUAAUUACUUGUUUCAACUUGCAGACUCUACGAAAGCAACCAAAACUUUCAGGACUCGUUUGGUAGGUCGGAUGUGAUUGGACCUAUUUUUUAAAUAUUUUGUGUGUUGAUACUUGUUUAAGUCAAAAUAUAAAUAGUACACAAACAAGUGACAAAGCAUUUAAAGUUAAUAGAGAAAUUUACAUUGAUAAUUUACCAUUCACACCGUAAUACUCAUUACAAAUUCCAGAACCUACUCCUCUGGUCCCUCUCAAUUUUGCCCAUUUCCAUCACAAUCAUCAUAUAUUGGAUUCUCCUAAUAUUAAUACCUAAUUACAUAAACAAAACCAAGUUGUUCUUUCCUCCUCCAAUCAUUUGAGACUAUGAUGCAAUUCCAAACACCACCAACACCAAAGACUAGGCAACAAAACGAAUUGACCAAUCACCCCCUCUUACCUUACAUCAGGAACGUCACUGUAACAAUAUUUAAAACCAAUAACAUUUUACCAAACGAGAUUAGAGAUAAUUAAAAUACAUAAUAAUGCGUUAAGGUUUUGAAAUACCGAAUCAGUGACAUUCUGGUUAAAGGUAAAAUUUUCUAUUGUCAUCGUUGCCAUUGAUUAGUUAUUAGUAUUGGUGAAGCAUGUCGGCAGUGGCCAUGAUUGGUUGGUUAACAUAAAGCAUGUUCCAAGGGUUUAUGAAGCUGUUGUGAUCGGCAAUCGGGGUGGUUUCAAAGUCUCCGCCGUAACCGUCGCCGGCGUUGAUGUAACCGAGGAUCUCGUUGAGCGACUCCAGUCUCUGGCUGAGCUCCGCCAUCUGCGCUUUCAAGACCGAGUUUUCCGACUCGACAUUCAUGUAGUGCUGGGUGGUGAUGUUUAUGCUGGUCAGGAUUUGAUUGUUCUCCUUCCGCAGCUGGGCGACCUGCGCCGUCAGAUCGUCCAGGUGCUGCUGCUUCCGCAUCCGGGACCGCCGCGCCGAUUCGCGGUUCGACUGCAUCCGUUUUCUCUUUCUUUGAUCAACCAGAUGAUGCAGAUCCCCUUCGGAGCCAGAGUUCUGAAGCUGAGUGGAACCAGAGGAAUUUCCGCUUGAAGAAGCCAUAGAAAUAUAUGCAAACUUAUAUAAAAACUUAGAUUAAACCCUAAACACGAAGAACCAAAUACUAAUUAUUCAGAUAAUUAAGGGCGAUUAUAUAUAUAAUAUAGGUAUUAGGCAGUGCGGGG